CAACCUCAACUCAUAUGGGACUACCCCCUGAAUUUAAGCAUAUAGAGGGAGAAAAGAAACUAACAAGGAUUUUCUUAGUAGCGGCGAGCGAAAAGAAAUCAGUUCAGCACUAAGUCACUUUGUCUAUAUGGCAAAUGUGAGAUGCAGUGUACGGAACAUCAACAUUCUAGUAUGAGAAGUUAACGAUUUAAGUCCUUCUUAAAUGAGGCCAUUUACCCAUAGAGGGUGCCAGGCCCGUAUAACGUUAAUGAUUACUAGAUGGUGUUUCCAAAGAGUCGUGUUGCUUGAUAGUGCAGCACUAAGUGGGUGGUAAACUCCAUCUAAAACUAAAUAUAACCAUGAGACCGAUAGUAAACAAGUACCGUGAGGGAAAGUUGAAAAGAACUCUGAAUAGAGAGUUAAAUAGUACGUGAAACUGCUUAGAGGUUAAGCCCGAUGAACCUGAAUAUCCGUUAUGGAAAAUUCAUCAUUAGAAUUGUAAUAUUUUAAACAAUAUUAUAAUAAUAGUGUGCAUUUUUUCCAUAUAAGGACAUUGUAAUCUAUUAGCAUAAAUAUUUAUCAUAAAAUUAUGUCUGAUUGCUUAUUUGAAUUAUAUGCUUGGCAUUUUAACAUAAAAUAAAAGAUAUAAAUUUGAUAAAGUGCUGAUAGAUUUAUAUGAUUACAGUGCGUUAAUUUUUCGGAAUUAUAUAAUGGCAUAAUUAUCAUUGAUAUUUGUGUUUAUUAUAUGCAUUUGUAUGAUUAACAAUGCGAAAGAUUCAGGAUACCUUCGGGACCCGUCAGGAAA
Molecule: non-coding RNA, 784 nt
Filed under: Drosophila virilis
Lineage: Eukaryota; Metazoa; Arthropoda; Insecta; Diptera; Drosophilidae
Description: Eukaryotic large subunit ribosomal RNA
Rfam family: Eukaryotic large subunit ribosomal RNA
Source: Rfam by way of RNAcentral